CCUACGGGAGGCAGCAGUAGGGAAUCUUGGACAAUGGGCGAAAGCCUGAUCCAGCCAUGCCGCGUGAGUGAUGAAGGCCUUAGGGUUGUAAAGCUCUUUCGCCAGGGAAGAUAAUGACGGUACCUGGAUAAGAAGCCCCGGCUAGCUUCGUGCCAGCAGCCGCGGUAAU
Molecule: ribosomal RNA, 169 nt
Filed under: uncultured Alphaproteobacteria bacterium
Lineage: Bacteria; Pseudomonadati; Pseudomonadota; Alphaproteobacteria
Description: partial 16S ribosomal RNA
Rfam family: Bacterial small subunit ribosomal RNA
Source: RNAcentral